CCUACGGGAGGCAGCAGUGGGGAAUAUUGCACAAUGGGGGAAACCCUGAUGCAGCGACGCCGCGUGAAGGAUGAAGUAUUUCGGUAUGUAAACUUCUAUCAGCAGGGAAGAAAAUGACGGUACCUGACUAAGAAGCCCCGGCUAACUACGUGCCAGCAGCCGCGGUAAUACGUAGGGGGCAAGCGUUAUCCGGAUUUACUGGGUGGAAAGGGAGCGUAGACGGUAUGGCAAGUCAGAUGUGAAAACCUGGGGCUCAACCCCGGGACUGCAUUGGAAACUGCCGAACUAGAGUGUCGGAGAGGCAAGUGGAAUUCCUAGUGUAGCGGUGAAAUGCGUAGAUAUUAGGAGGAACACCAGUGGCGAAGGCGGCUUGCUGGACGAUGACUGACGUUGAGGCUCGAAAGCGUGGGGAGCAAACAGGAUUAGAUACCCGGGUAGUC
RNAcentral lists this ribosomal RNA (440 nucleotides) under uncultured bacterium. RNAcentral describes it as "partial 16S ribosomal RNA". It matches the Rfam family "Bacterial small subunit ribosomal RNA", at positions 338 to 795 of the family's 1533-position model. The record is from RNAcentral.